Molecule: long non-coding RNA, 701 nt
Filed under: Gallus gallus (chicken)
Lineage: Eukaryota; Metazoa; Chordata; Aves; Galliformes; Phasianidae
Description: lncRNA (ENSGALG00010027564.1)
Source: RNAcentral
UGGAGCACGGUAGGGACUUCACAGAAGGAGCUGGCAGAGCCCACUGUGGGCUUGGUCCCUGCACACGGCAUGAGUGUGACAGGGCACAGCUCUGGGACAGGUCACCUGGAUGGUGCGCAGGGAUGAAGGUCGAGAGGAAGGUCACCAGACUGACUGGUGGCUCAGGUGGAGGAGAUGUAGGUUUGGGAUGAGUCACUGGGAAUUGCUUUAGCUUAUCAAACAUUGCUGAACUAAGCUCAUCUUCUAACACCUUUCUCCUUGGAGGAGAGAAGGCUGUGGAGAGACCUCACUGUGGCCUUCCAAUACUUGAAGGGAGCUUAUAAACAGGAGGGGGAAUGGCUGUUUAUGAGAGUGGAUAGUGAUAGGACAAGGGGGAAUGGUCUUAAACUGAGACAGGGGAGGUUUAGGUUGGAUAUUAGGAGGAAGUUUCUCACUCAGAGGGUGGUGACACACUGGCACAGGUUGCCCAGGGAGGUUGUGGAUGCCCCAUCCCUGGAGGCAUUCAAGGCCAGGCUGGAUGUGGCUCUGGGCAGCCUGGUCUGCUGGUUGGCGACCCUGCACAUAGCAGGGGGUUGGAACUGGAUGAUGAUUGUGGUCCUUUUCAACCCAGGCCAUUCUAUGAUUCUGUGAUUCUAUAAUAUUUGGAUGCAUUACAAACUCUGCAUGGAGAGCUCUCUGUGCACAUUGCGUGUUCAUUUCUA